This 69-nucleotide transfer RNA is filed under the name Caryomys inez. RNAcentral describes it as "Eothenomys inez tRNA-His". It matches the Rfam family "tRNA". From Rfam's summary of the family: Transfer RNA (tRNA) molecules are approximately 80 nucleotides in length. Their secondary structure includes four short double-helical elements and three loops (D, anti-codon, and T loops). Further hydrogen bonds mediate the characteristic L-shaped molecular structure. tRNAs have two regions of fundamental functional importance: the anti-codon, which is responsible for specific mRNA codon recognition, and the 3' end, to which the tRNAs corresponding amino acid is attached (by aminoacyl-tRNA synthetases). tRNAs cope with the degeneracy of the genetic code in two manners: having more than one tRNA (with a specific anti-codon) for a particular amino acid; and 'wobble' base-pairing, i.e. permitting non-standard base-pairing at the 3rd anti-codon position. The record is from RNAcentral. Lineage: Eukaryota; Metazoa; Chordata; Mammalia; Rodentia; Cricetidae.
GUCAAUAUAGUUUAAUAAAAACAUCAGACUGUGAAUCUGAAAAUAGGAUAUUAAUUCUCCUUAUUUACC